CCUACGGGCGGCAGCAGUGGGGAAUAUUGCACAAUGGGGGAAACCCUGAUGCAGCGACGCCGCGUGAGUGAAGAAGUAUUUCGUUAUGUAAAGCUCUAUCAGCAGGGAAGAAAAUGACGGUACCUGAGUAAGAAGCCCCGGCUAACUACGUGCCAGCAGCCGCGGUACUACGUAGGGGGCAAGCGUUAUCCGGAUUUACUGGGUGUAAAGGGAGCGUAGACGGCAGUGCAAGUCUGGAGUGAAAGGCGGUGGCUCAACCCGCGGACUGCUCUGGAAACUGUACGGCUGGAGUGCAGGAGAGGUAAGUGGAAUUCCUAGUGUAGCGGUGAAAUGCGUAGAUAUUAGGAGGAACACCAGUGGCGAAGGCGGCUUACUGGACUGUAACUGACGUUGAGGCUCGAAAGCGUGGGGAGCAAACAGGAUUAGAUACCCGUGUAGUC
RNAcentral lists this ribosomal RNA (440 nucleotides) under uncultured bacterium. Its description in RNAcentral is "partial 16S ribosomal RNA". It matches the Rfam family "Bacterial small subunit ribosomal RNA", at positions 338 to 795 of the family's 1533-position model. The record is from RNAcentral.